This 2784-nucleotide ribosomal RNA is filed under the name Enterobacter hormaechei. RNAcentral's name for it is "partial 23S ribosomal RNA". It matches the Rfam family "Bacterial large subunit ribosomal RNA". Lineage: Bacteria; Pseudomonadati; Pseudomonadota; Gammaproteobacteria; Enterobacterales; Enterobacteriaceae. The record is from RNAcentral.
GGGUUGUGAGGUUAAGCGACUAAGCGUACACGGUGGAUGCCCUGGCAGUCAGAGGCGAUGAAGGACGUGCUAAUCUGCGAAAAGCGCCGGCGAGGUGAUAUGAACCCUUGACCCGGCGAUGUCCGAAUGGGGAAACCCAGUGCAAUCCGUUGCACUAUCGUUAACUGAAUACAUAGGUUAACGAGGCGAACCGGGGGAACUGAAACAUCUAAGUACCCCGAGGAAAAGAAAUCAACCGAGAUUCCCCCAGUAGCGGCGAGCGAACGGGGAGCAGCCCGGAGUCUGAAUCAGCUUGUGUGUUAGUGGAACGGUCUGGAAAGUCCGACGGUACAGGGUGAUAGUCCCGUACACGAAAGCACACAUGCUGUGAACUCGAAGAGUAGGGCGGGACACGUGGUAUCCUGUCUGAAUAUGGGGGGACCAUCCUCCAAGGCUAAAUACUCCUGACUGACCGAUAGUGAACCAGUACCGUGAGGGAAAGGCGAAAAGAACCCCGGCGAGGGGAGUGAAAAAGAACCUGAAACCGUGUACGUACAAGCAGUGGGAGCCUCUUUAUGGGGUGACUGCGUACCUUUUGUAUAAUGGGUCAGCGACUUAUAUUCUGUAGCAAGGUUAACCGUAUAGGGGAGCCGAAGGGAAACCGAGUCUUAACUGGGCGUUAAGUUGCAGGGUAUAGACCCGAAACCCGGUGAUCUAGCCAUGGGCAGGUUGAAGGUUGGGUAACACUAACUGGAGGACCGAACCGACUAAUGUUGAAAAAUUAGCGGAUGACCUGUGGCUGGGGGUGAAAGGCCAAUCAAACCGGGAGAUAGCUGGUUCUCCCCGAAAGCUAUUUAGGUAGCGCCUCGUGAACUCAUCUUCGGGGGUAGAGCACUGUUUCGGCUAGGGGGCCAUCCCGGCUUACCAACCCGAUGCAAACUACGAAUACCGAAGAAUGUUAUCACGGGAGACACACGGCGGGUGCUAACGUCCGUCGUGAAGAGGGAAACAACCCAGACCGCCAGCUAAGGUCCCAAAGUCAUGGUUAAGUGGGAAACGAUGUGGGAAGGCACAGACAGCCAGGAUGUUGGCUUAGAAGCAGCCAUCAUUUAAAGAAAGCGUAAUAGCUCACUGGUCGAGUCGGCCUGCGCGGAAGAUGUAACGGGGCUAAACCAUGCACCGAAGCUGCGGCAGCGACGCUUAUGCGUUGUUGGGUAGGGGAGCGUUCUGUAAGCCGUUGAAGGUGUGCUGUGAGGCAUGCUGGAGGUAUCAGAAGUGCGAAUGCUGACAUAAGUAACGAUAAAGCGGGUGAAAAGCCCGCUCGCCGGAAGACCAAGGGUUCCUGUCCAACGUUAAUCGGGGCAGGGUGAGUCGACCCCUAAGGCGAGGCCGAAAGGCGUAGUCGAUGGGAAACAGGUUAAUAUUCCUGUACUUGGUGUUACUGCGAAGGGGGGACGGAGAAGGCUAUGUCAGCCGGGCGACGGUUGUCCCGGUUUAAGCAUGUAGGCGGAGGUUCCAGGUAAAUCCGGUACCUUAUUAACGCUGAGGUGUGAUGACGAGGCACUACGGUGCUGAAGUGAUAAAUGCCCUGCUUCCAGGAAAAGCCUCUAAGCAUCAGGUAACACGAAAUCGUACCCCAAACCGACACAGGUGGUCAGGUAGAGAAUACCAAGGCGCUUGAGAGAACUCGGGUGAAGGAACUAGGCAAAAUGGUGCCGUAACUUCGGGAGAAGGCACGCUGAUGUGUAGGUGAAGCCCCUGCGGGUGGAGCUGAAAUCAGUCGAAGAUACCAGCUGGCUGCAACUGUUUAUUAAAAACACAGCACUGUGCAAACACGAAAGUGGACGUAUACGGUGUGACGCCUGCCCGGUGCCGGAAGGUUAAUUGAUGGGGUUAGCGGCAACGCGAAGCUCUUGAUCGAAGCCCCGGUAAACGGCGGCCGUAACUAUAACGGUCCUAAGGUAGCGAAAUUCCUUGUCGGGUAAGUUCCGACCUGCACGAAUGGCGUAAUGAUGGCCAGGCUGUCUCCACCCGAGACUCAGUGAAAUUGAACUCGCUGUGAAGAUGCAGUGUACCCGCGGCAAGACGGAAAGACCCCGUGAACCUUUACUAUAGCUUGACACUGAACACUGGUCCUUGAUGUGUAGGAUAGGUGGGAGGCUUUGAAGCGUGGACGCCAGUCUGCGUGGAGCCNNNNNNNNNNNNNNNNNNNNNNNNNNNNNNCCGGGUUGCGGACAGUGUCUGGUGGGUAGUUUGACUGGGGCGGUCUCCUCCCAAAGAGUAACGGAGGAGCACGAAGGUUGGCUAAUCCUGGUCGGACAUCAGGAGGUUAGUGCAAUGGCAUAAGCCAGCUUGACUGCGAGCGUGACGGCGCGAGCAGGUGCGAAAGCAGGUCAUAGUGAUCCGGUGGUUCUGAAUGGAAGGGCCAUCGCUCAACGGAUAAAAGGUACUCCGGGGAUAACAGGCUGAUACCGCCCAAGAGUUCAUAUCGACGGCGGUGUUUGGCACCUCGAUGUCGGCUCAUCACAUCCUGGGGCUGAAGUAGGUCCCAAGGGUAUGGCUGUUCGCCAUUUAAAGUGGUACGCGAGCUGGGUUUAGAACGUCGUGAGACAGUUCGGUCCCUAUCUGCCGUGGGCGCUGGAGAAUUGAGGGGGGCUGCUCCUAGUACGAGAGGACCGGAGUGGACGCAUCACUGGUGUUCGGGUUGUCAUGCCAAUGGCACUGCCCGGUAGCUAAAUGCGGAAGAGAUAAGUGCUGAAAGCAUCUAAGCACGAAACUUGCCCCGAGAUGAGUUCUCCCUGAGAC